AACGAACGCUGGCGGCAUGCCUAACACAUGCAAGUCGAACGAGACCUUCGGGUCUAGUUGCGCACGGGUGCGUAACGCGUGGGAACCUGCCCUUAGGUUCGGAAUAACUCCCCGAAAGGGGUGCUAAUACCGGGUAAUGUCUUCUGACCAAAGAUUUAUCGCCUUUGGAUGGGCCCGCGUUGGUUUAGCUAGUUGGUAGGGUAAAAGCCUACCAAGGCGACGAUCCAUAGCUGGUCUGAGAGGAUGAUCAGCCACACUGGGACUGAGACACGGCGCAGACUACUACGGGAGGCAGCAGUGGGGAAUAUUGGACAAUGGGGGAAAGGCUGAUCCAGCAAUGCCGCGUGAGUGAUGAAGGCCUUAGGGUUGUAAAGCUCUUUUACCCGGGAUGAUAAUGACAGUACCGGGAGAAUAAGCUCCGGCUAACUCCGUG
This 433-nucleotide ribosomal RNA is filed under the name uncultured bacterium. RNAcentral's name for it is "partial 16S ribosomal RNA". It matches the Rfam family "Bacterial small subunit ribosomal RNA", at positions 29 to 507 of the family's 1533-position model. The record is from RNAcentral.